AUUGAACGCUGGCGGCAGGCCUAACACAUGCAAGUCGAGCGAGCGGCGGACGGGUGAGUAAUGUAUGGGGACUGCCCGAUAGCGGGGGAUCACUACUGGAAACGGUGGCUAAUACCGCAUACUAUCGGAUAACCCAUAUGGGAUUAGCUAGUAGGGGGGGGAACGGCUCAACUAGGCGACGAUCUCUAGCUGGUCUGAGAGGAUGAUCAGCCACACUGGGAGUGAGACAUGGCCCAGACUCCGACGGAGGCAGCAGUGGGUAAUAUUGCAAAAUGGGCGCAAGCCUGAGUCAGCCAUGCCGCGUGUAUGAAGAAGGCCUUAGGUUUGUAAAGUACUGUCAGCGGGGAGGCGUUACCCGCAGAAGAAGCACCGGAUAACUCCGUGCCAGCAGCGGCGGUAAUUC
RNAcentral lists this ribosomal RNA (403 nucleotides) under uncultured bacterium. Its description in RNAcentral is "partial 16S ribosomal RNA". It matches the Rfam family "Bacterial small subunit ribosomal RNA", at positions 30 to 526 of the family's 1533-position model. The record is from RNAcentral.